AAUGGUCUAUUCGCUUGUA
Molecule: small nuclear RNA, 19 nt
Filed under: Arabidopsis thaliana (thale cress)
Lineage: Eukaryota; Viridiplantae; Streptophyta; Magnoliopsida; Brassicales; Brassicaceae
Description: snRNA_04938
Source: RNAcentral